Molecule: ribosomal RNA, 253 nt
Filed under: uncultured bacterium
Lineage: Bacteria
Description: partial 16S ribosomal RNA
Rfam family: Bacterial small subunit ribosomal RNA
Source: RNAcentral
UACAGAGGUCUCAAGCGUUGUUCGGAUUCAUUGGGCGUAAAGGGUGCGUAGGCGGCGCGGUAAGUCGGGUGUGAAAUCUUGGAGCUUAACUCCGAAACUGCAUUCGAUACUGCCGUGCUUGAGGACUGGAGAGGAGACUGGAAUUUACGGUGUAGCAGUGAAAUGCGUAGAUAUCGUAAGGAAGACCAGUGGCGAAGGCGGGUCUCUGGACAGUUCCUGACACUGAGACACGAAGGCCAGGGGAGCAAACGGG